Molecule: ribosomal RNA, 229 nt
Filed under: uncultured bacterium
Lineage: Bacteria
Description: partial 16S ribosomal RNA
Rfam family: Bacterial small subunit ribosomal RNA
Source: RNAcentral
CGUCUAGGCGGAUUUGUAAGUUAGGUGUGAAAUCCCUCGGCUCAACCGAGGAACUGCACUUAAAACUGUAGAUCUUGAGUUCGGAAGAGGAAAGCGGAAUUCCUGGUGUAGCGGUGAAAUGCGUAGAUAUCAGGAAGAACACCAGUGGCGAAGGCGGCUUUCUGGUCCGAUACUGACGCUGAAGCGCGAAAGUGUGGGGAGCAAACAGGAUUAGAUACCCUGGUAGUCC